This 71-nucleotide transfer RNA is filed under the name Bos taurus (domestic cattle). It matches the Rfam family "tRNA". From Rfam's summary of the family: Transfer RNA (tRNA) molecules are approximately 80 nucleotides in length. Their secondary structure includes four short double-helical elements and three loops (D, anti-codon, and T loops). The record is from Rfam by way of RNAcentral. RNAcentral also lists the same sequence under 5 other names. Lineage: Eukaryota; Metazoa; Chordata; Mammalia; Artiodactyla; Bovidae.
UCCCUGCUGGCUCAGUCAGAAAGAGUCUGCCUGCAAUACAGGAGACCCAGGUUCCACCCCUGGGUUGGGAA